GACUCCAUGGCCCAAAGGAUAAGGUGCUGGUCUACGAAACCAGACAUUCUGGGUUUGAUCCCCAGUGGGGUCG
This is a transfer RNA of Ipomoea nil (Japanese morning glory), 73 nucleotides long. It matches the Rfam family "tRNA". Rfam says of the family: Transfer RNA (tRNA) molecules are approximately 80 nucleotides in length. NCBI's taxonomy places the organism in Eukaryota, Viridiplantae, Streptophyta, Magnoliopsida, Solanales, Convolvulaceae. The record is from Rfam.